UACAUUGUUUUUGUUUUCCUCCAUUCACCCUUGCACCUCUUCUCCCCUUAAGUCAUUUCUUUCUUUUUACUUAGAAUGGCCCUUAGAUGCGGCCGUUGUUGAGCCCAUAAGGGAAUUUGCACAGACCGACUCAUUAUGAGACAUAAGUUUAAAAGUGCAGAUGUAUAUUGUGAUGCUGACCUUGUGCACAGAGGACUUGUGCCCUUCGCUAUCGUUGCCUAGUUGACCUCUCUGGUCCCCAGCGAGACCACAUCAGGCGUUGUUAAAGGCCUGGACCCCGGACGCACUACAACACAGGUUCUGGGUAGGAAAACCAAAGUAACAGGAAGCCCGUUGGGUUAAUGCCUGCAAACACACAUCAGCGUCGCACCACAGAACACUUUCUCAUCUCACACACACACACACACACACACACACACAGUGCAGACACGAAGUCCCCCACCCACCCCAGUGUGGUGACACGCUGCAAUAAAGCUUUUUGCACACAUAUAUGUAAGCCUUUGAGUUGUGCAUUGCAUCAUCACUUGUCUUCACUUGCAGGUUUAAAAAAGGGUUUUCAUUUUAGUUUUCAUAGUGUCAUAGUAGUCACCGAGAAAGUUGCAGUGUGUGUGCUUUAUGUGCAUGUGUUUAGUGGCAUUUGCAGAUUUAAAUUUGUUCGUUACUUGUUAGUUGUUGCAUUAAAGGCUGGCCCUUCCAGCUCCACCAACACUACCUACUUCCCAUCUCUCUCACUCACACACACACACACAGCUGUAUGAUCCACAGUUGCCAGAAACCACAUUCAACCCUAUUUGAAUAAAAAUGUAAUAUGCUGUUAUUAUAUUCUUUUUUCUUAAUUAUUUUACUGAAGAGACCUGUUGUUCUGUUGAGGACUGAUGGAGGAACACGUGGGCAGUAGAGGGCUAACCUGCAACUUAAUCUCACUUGAACUGUAUAUAAACAGUGGUUUUAUUAAAAUAAAGAGAUAUAAAUAUUCAACCUGGAGCAGUGGGUUGUUUAACUGAUUCAAACAUUUGGCCUAUUACUCCCACAGGUUUAUUAUAUGAUGAAUAUGCCCAGGGUAUAUGUAUAUGAAGGUUUUAUUGUGAAAGGUAAGAGUAGAAGGCUAUGGAUUACAUUAUAUUUUGGAUAUAUUCGUAGCACAGAAGUUUAAAAAAAUAAAGGAUGUUCCAAAGAAAUAUCUGCUUCGUUCCAAGAUCAAUUACAAUAUUUCACAUUAAAAUAAUAUUGUAUUUGUGUGACAAACUACAGUAAUAAAACAUACUUUUAAAUUGAUAGCAUGAAACAAACAUCCCUGUUUAACAGUUAUCAAU
This is a long non-coding RNA of Gasterosteus aculeatus aculeatus (three-spined stickleback), 1313 nucleotides long. The record is from Ensembl. Lineage: Eukaryota; Metazoa; Chordata; Actinopteri; Perciformes; Gasterosteidae.